GUUUGACAAAAUGUGCUGAUUUUUCACGUGUGAUAGCAGAACUGAAUUGGGCAUGCACAGGAUGAGUCACAUCAUUUGAAACUUAGCCCUGAUUGGAGAAAUUGGAAGUGUUACAACUGACCCACGUUACAACUAUCCCCGGUCUCCCCUAAUAAGAGGGGCACUGAAAUUCGGGAUUGUCCGAGAAAAAACGGGAGGGUUGGCAUGUAUUGCCUUGCAUUGCCUGUAACGUUAUUAUGAUGUACAGGUUUUAUGAGUGAACUUGACUUUAAGUGACUUACAGGUUUCUUUGAAAAAUACUUUCUUAUAUCCAGGUUCUUUUUGCUGCCAUCCUCCUCUCCUGCUCGCAGCGCAGGAUUGCCGCUGCUAAAACUAAACAGAGCUCCCUGAAAGGCACAGCCAAUCACAUUGGCCAUAUUUGUCACAUGAUAUAGGACUCCAGUAGAGAACGUAAUUUAACUCUUUCUGCACCGCUGGGUGAAUGAGACGUUGACAGAUCGCUUUUUUUUUUUUUUUUUAAAUUUCUAUCGGUUUUGUUUUUCUUUACUCGAAGAGAUCAAAUUAUUGGUGGGGACAAUUCAAUAAUCGCUGGAUAUUGGUGGGGACAUGUCCCUUCCGUCCAUGCCAAAUCUACGCCCUUGCACUGCACCCAAGUCUUAAUCAGAAUAAUAUGUGCACACUGCUCUACAAUUCCUAUCAGUCAUUUCUUAUAUCAAAAGCAUAUUUAUUUUUCUUCAGCGUCCUCUCAUUUAUUAGAAUUGCCACACUGUUUUCAGAGAGAAAUGCGUGAAACCUGCUCUAACACUUUGUUUUUCAGUCACUAUGUUCUGCUCUUGGCAUAAUGGUUGUUUUUACUGAUGUGAACUGGCUGAAUCUUUGUAUAUGAAUUCAAAUGUAUUAUUAAUGGCGACAUUGCAGUAAUUUCCCUAAAUUAGUCCAUCUCAUAGAAUAUAAGUAAAAUACAACUUAUUUUCUUAUAUUUUACUGCACUGAUCCAGUGUAACCCAGUAACCUCCUGCCUGUUUAAGUAAAAAGUUAGAAGCACCCAGUGUAAAGCCAAAAGUUACCUUGGAUCAGACUAAAUUCUGGUUGGCAGUAUAAGCUUCAGGUACUUCUAUCAGAAGUCAUAUCAUCAAUAAACACUUAUUAAAAAGCUGUUAGCCAUGACUGAUCAAUGUCAUC
Molecule: long non-coding RNA, 1182 nt
Organism: Astatotilapia calliptera (eastern happy)
Lineage: Eukaryota; Metazoa; Chordata; Actinopteri; Cichliformes; Cichlidae
Source: Ensembl